This 497-nucleotide ribosomal RNA is filed under the name uncultured bacterium. RNAcentral's name for it is "partial 16S ribosomal RNA". It matches the Rfam family "Bacterial small subunit ribosomal RNA", at positions 28 to 507 of the family's 1533-position model. The record is from RNAcentral.
GAUGAACGCUGGCGGCGUGCCUAAUACAUGCAAGUCGAGCGAACAGACGAGGAGCUUGCUCCUCUGACGUUAGCGGCGGACGGGUGAGUAACACGUGGAUAACCUACCUAUAAGACUGGGAUAACUUCGGGAAACCGGAGCUAAUACCGGAUAAUAUAUUGAACCGCAUGGUUCAAUAGUGAAAGACGGUUUUGCUGUCACUUAUAGAUGGAUCCGCGCCGCAUUAGCUAGUUGGUAAGGUAACGGCUUACCAAGGCAACGAUGCGUAGCCGACCUGAGAGGGUGAUCGGCCACACUGGAACUGAGACAAGGUCCAGACUCCUACGGGAGGCAGCAGUAGGGAAUCUUACGAAAUGGGCGAAAGCCUGAAGGAGCAACGCCGCGUGAGUGAUGAAGGUCUUCGGAUCGUAAAACUCUGUUAUUAGGGAAGAACAAAUGUGUAAGUAACUAUGCACGUCUUGACGGUACCUAAUCAGAAAGCCACGGCUAACUACGUG